This 33347-nucleotide long non-coding RNA is filed under the name Malus domestica (apple). RNAcentral's name for it is "long non-coding RNA (MDOM_LNC003036)". Lineage: Eukaryota; Viridiplantae; Streptophyta; Magnoliopsida; Rosales; Rosaceae. The record is from RNAcentral.
CCGGCUCGCACAUGACUAUGCUACAAACAUGAAGAGGAAGCUUGACCAGAUGAAGGAAACUGAUGGUCAGGUUUUACUUGAUCAUCAGAGAUUUGUGGGUUUGUUCCAAAGGCAUUUAUUGCCUUCGUCUUCUGGGGCUGUACCCGCGUAAUGAAGCUCCAAAUGAUCAACCUCUGAUGCCUCCUCCUUCUAGGGUUCUGUCCAGUACUGAGGCUCCAAAUGAUCCCCCUCCGGUGCCUUCUCUUUCUGGGGCUCUACCGACUGCUGAGACUUCUCCUAAGCAACCUUUGUGAAGGCUCCCUCUUGUGUGCUUAUUUUGACUCAUGUAUAUGUACAUAUUUGUAGCUUAUCGGGGAUAUCAAUAAAUAAGCUUUCCUUCAUUUCAACGUAUUGUAUUAAAUACACCAAAGCCUUCUUCGCUAAGUUCUUUGAAUUUUCUUUUGUUAAAGCUUGUAUGUUGAAGCUUUCUGAGUGGAGCAUGUAGGUUGGGGUAGUGUUCCCUUAAUUUCCCGAGUGAGGAAAACUUCUCGGUUGGGGACUUGGAAAAUCCAAGUCACUGAGUGGGAUCGGCUAGAAAAUCCAAGUCACUGAGUGGACUUGGAAAAUCCUUGUACUAUAAAUUCUUCGCAAUCUGUUGUAGUUGUUAUGCUACACAAUAACUGUGUGUGAAUUGUAUUAGAGGGGGUAAAUAGGACACACUAGUAACUUGCUUGAUUUUAGUGUUACAAGUACCUGCAUCACUUAAUGUGCUCUAAUUAAAAGCCUAGUGUGUUCAAUUGGGAUUUUAAUAGUGUUAGAAGUAACUUGCUUGAUUUUAGGCGUAUUAUAGUCAAAUUUUUAUGGAACCUAUAAAAGGUUGGGUCUUUUCAACAAAGAAUUUUUAAAAAUAUAUUACAUAAAGUAAUGGAUUUUGGUGUAUUUUAGAAUGAAUUAUGGGCUAUAACAAGUCUAGCCUUUUCCCCUUCACUUUGGUGGAUGUAAGAUGCCGACCCUGCUUGUGAACAUGAAGGAUUUGACUGAAUUUGUAGAUCGUUUGAAGACACCAUCGAGAGUAGACCUGUAUGCACACGUGCAUAAAUAUUUAUUGAACCUACAAGUUACGAUUGUCUAGUGCCAUAUUGCCUACUGAAAUAAUCUUGACAAAAUUGCUUGUAUAAAAAGGAAAAAAAUGAACAGUGGAAAAUAAGAUUAUUCUGAGCUAGUGGUAUUACAGGGGCUAAUGAUUUGUCACCCAGCUAUCAAGGCUUGUACUUCAACUUCCUCUCUGUUCUUUUCUUGUUUGUAUGCGUUACAAACUUACAAGUUUGGCUUUUGGUGGUGGUGGGGGUGUUGUUAACCGAAAAAAGAAGAAAAAAAAAGUCUGUUUUCUAUAAUUGUAGUUCAAUAUUUUGCUUACCCUAUUUAUUUUUAUUUUCACUAUGCAUAUUUUUAUGAUCCUUUUCAUUAUAAUAAUUGUAGUUAAUAGUAAUACUUUCCAAAUACUGAUUUUAGGGUAAUGUGUAUAUGAAAUGUUAAAUAGUUUUUAUUUUUUAUUUUUUUAUAAAUAUUUUAACUGCCAAAGUAAGCAUGACAACAAUAUUCUAUUUGGCCGUUAAAAUUCCAUGAAAAUCAAGCCUAUAAAUAUAUUUCAAACUUUAUGUUUGAAGUUUAACAAACUUCAUUAAAUUCCACAUACAAUUCAGUUAAAUUCUAUGUAGUAGAGAAAAUCAAGCCUAUAAAUAUAUUUCAAACUCAAUGUUUGAAGUUUAACAAACUUCAUUAAAUUCCACAUACAAUUCAGUCAAAUUCUAUGUAGUAUAGAAAUCAAAUAAAAUUCAUGGACUCCAUGAAUUUAUAAAAUCUACGUAACGCCCUUGUACUGAAAAAUGAUGCUUGAAUCAGUGCCCAUGAAUUAUCACUUUUGUUAUUAUGAGAUGGUUAAAUUUAUUUUGAUCAACAAAUAUCAUGCUUUGUUGGAAGAAUGCCAUUGUUUUUGUACUAUUGGAUCAUAUUAGUGAUAAAUGAAGACAUUUAAAUGUUUGUUUCUUUAAAUAUGCAGGGUAUCGACAGAGGCAUCUAGAGUUUUUGAUGUUCUACAUGAUAUGUUGGAACACAUCUUCUACAAUUUGCAUAAUAUCCAGAAGAACUUGCAGUUUUGGCAAUCUAGGGCUGAGGUGAGAAAUAAAACACAACAUCAUUAAUUACAUUAUAGAUUACAGAAAGAGGGGAAUGCAAAUAAAAACAUGUGAAAAUAUAAACAAAACAAAAAAGAAACAUAUCACGAAAGAACCUAUCAAAAUGUCUAAACUACAGAAGCUUCCCUAUUUGAUGAAUGACAUAGAAAGAAGAGUUGCCAGCCUUUUCUGAGUUUACUGCUGAAGUUCUGCUGGAAGCUAGGAUUUGGGAGGUUAAAGCCUUUUAGGUGACACAAUUUCAUGAGCAAAAAGUUGUUUUUGAGAAAAAUAAACAGAUGAUAUACUAAAUUACUGGAAAUAAGCCAGUUUGGGAAGGUUCAAAAUCGGUUUUGAGAAGUAAGUGUUGAAGGAUCUGUGCCACGGGAUGUAUAAAUUGUUUGGUCAUGAUGGUUCAACAACUUUUGGUGGAAAGGGUUCGCUUGGUAUCAACCAGGCCACAUUCAAGGACCUGGAGAUUAGAAUCAGCAGGUGUUUUCUUUGUGUUAGUUGUUUUUCAUAUUUUUAUGUUCGGUGGGGCAGUUCCAAAUUUUCACCAAGCAGGUUCACACAGAAGGCAAAGCUUCCUCUGUUAUUCAAAUAAGAAAAGUCCUUUCCUGCUCAUGCAAGAACUUUUUGUUUUCCUUCACUCUACCACUUUCCCUUAACUUUUCUUUAUUAACACCAACCUUAAAUCUUUGUGACAUUGAGAUUGUUUUACAUAAUUUUAAAUCGUUCCUAUCAUCAUAUUGUGUAUAAGCCACAUAUAGUUAGUUAAUUUUCUUGUUAUGUUGUUAAAUUGAAGAUAAGCUACAUAUAAGCGGUUGUCUUUGACUAUAGCUUGUAGCAGGUAAUGCAUCUGUUAACAACUGGGUAAAAUGGUAAUAUAACAAUUGAUCUUACCAGCCACAUUCUGUUACUAGAAAUGAAACAAAUACAGUUUACUUUCUGGGUUUCCCCCACACAAUGCAAAUCAUGGCUACGUUCCUGCAUUUAUGCGUCUGUCUGUGCUGGCUAUGAUUUGAAUAAACCAUGCACAAAUAUUGAUGUUAUAUACAAAUGAUACACAAUCAGACUUAUGUUUGAUAUAUCUGAUUUCAGGGAUCUAAUGCUCAAAAAGUUAAAUUUAUGGUGUUAGAGAGAGGGCCACAUGCUUUUAUUGAAGGUGCAAUUCAGCUGAUACGUGGAUGCAUUGCUGAAGGUUCUUCUAUACAGAGUAUAUCCCUCUCUGCAUCUGCUCACAUAUCUGAACGGAUAACUAUAUUAACUAGCUUGAGAUGUUCUCUCGCCACAUUUUUGGCCCAGGUUUGCUUUACCUUGUUCAUAUAUUGUUAAUUUGAAUAUGGUCUCUAAUUUUUUGAGGAGAGAGAGAUGACCAAUUAUAGCCCUCUUAUAUUUUCUUUUCAGCACACACACAAAUAUAUAUAUAUAUAUAUAUAUAUAUAUAUAUUUAUAUAUAUAUGUAGAUAGAUAGUAUAUACACACACACAUACAUACAAUGAGAGCUUCAUAAGAGGGAUCCCUUUCUACUAGAAAAAGGAUUGUAGUUGAGCCCAACCAUCAAAGCUAUCCGUUAAUCCAAAUUGUUUAACUUUUAGGACUUCAUUCAAAGAUCGUCCUUGCAAAAAAUCACCAAAAUCCAAAAUCAUAUGGUCAUCAAACAAUAACAUAAGAAAUAGACGGACACAAUCUUUCUUCUAAAAGAACUAAAUAUAUGAUAAUCAAAUUGUCAAACGAUUUUGGAUUUCAAUGAUUUUUCGUAGGCAUGGUUCUUGGAUGGAGAUCUAAACUGUAGUCAGUUUGGAUUAUUGAACCUCAUUGUGGAGUGUGAGGAACAACCCUCUCAACUAUUCUUCCAAAGGGAUCCUCUUAAGAAUACCCACAACACGCGCACACACAGACACACAAACAGAGACACAUGCACACACACACACAAACAGAGACACAUGCGCACACACACACACACACACACACACACACACGUGCACGCACGCACACAUAUCUGAAUAUGAUGUAUGUCAAUCGUGGUUUGUAUAGGUUUACAUGGAAAUUGACAAGUUUGGAGACGGGUUAGUGAGCGAUCCAGAGAAUUCAUUGCCUUCCUUACUAAUUAGAAUUAAUGGCUUAUUCUUCAAACUAGAGGCAUCUGUUGGCCAUGUGCAUGCAAUGCGGCAGGUAGCUUCUUGAACAUUCGAACUUGAUUUUAUUGUGGUGGUAGCCUUAUUGUCAAGAUUGUUUCACCAUCUGAAAUUCAAAAAGAGAAUCAAGCACGAAACAUGAAAACCAUUGUAAUAUGUAUAUUUAAUUGCCAUGCAGGUUGAUUCGUCUGUUGAGGGCAGCUAUUCAGUUCCACUACUAUUUGAGAAACUCCCGGAAAUAAAUCAAGAAGGAUCCCAGUGGACAGACUGUGAAAUUAAGGAUGCUAUCAAUUUGGUUUAUCAGAAUCUGGACAAGCUCGAUUCUUACUUGUCUUCUAUUGUAAGAGCUUCUGCCACAUUUUCUCUAUCGAAUUAAGUAUAGCUUUUGUUGGGGAAGCUGGAUGAAAUGGAUAGAUCAUAUGUGUAUCAACUGGCUUAUGAUUGGUUCUUGUUUAUAUACUUUAUCCAUCUUUUGACAAUAUGCAGGAAAUAGUUGCCUUUCGUUUUUUUAUUUUAAUUUAUUUUAUUUCCUGUUUUUCUUUUUCAUAUACUUCUUUAUACGUUUUCUUUGAUUUAUUUAUGUGAUAGGUUUGCAAACAUCGUAAACCAAGGAAGGUAACACAAUAUUGGAUCCGUUAUACAUGUGGUGCGGUUGGCUUCUCAGUUUGUUCUGUGUGGCUUAUAGGACAUAGUAGUCUGAUGGGAAGUCCUGACAUUGACAAUUGGGUUCGUGAAGCGAGGGAUUCAACAGUCAGCUUCUUUAGCGAUCAUGUGGAGCAACCGGUAUAUUUGUUCAACUUAUGUCGUGCUUUAAUUUUCUGCUGCUCUAAAAAAUAUUUGUUAUGCUAUUUGACUGAAAGUGAAGGAAGCUAUGGUGCCAUGUAACUGUCUUGACAUGAAGUUUAUAUUUUCAGAUGAUCACUUUAUAAAUUAACCUUUGAUAGACGUUUCUCGGAGGCUUAAAUUUGUGAUAUAUUUCCAUGGAGUCUAUGUAAUUUAUUUAAAACUCCAUCAAAAUCCGUGGAUUUAUAAUUCCAUAAAAAUCCUUUAAAAUCUCAAUUGAAUACACCCUAAGGGUAUUAGCUUCGAUAGUGCUCAGUGCAAUAUUUGCGAUAUGGUUCAAAGGAGAACACCUCUUUUUGUGUCUGUACUGUCGACAUUGGUGUGUGAAUUGUGAUAAAAGAUGCUGAGAAUGGGUCAUCUGUUUUUGCACAGUCCAGUAGCAUUGAUUGUUUGGCUGAGGUUAUUCGUGAAGGCUAAUUUGGGCUGGGAGAUUCCAGCUACAUGUGUGGCAUUAUUUGUAAGAAGCACAAGUAAGUUGGAGGAAGAAAGAGGCACAGUGAUAAAUUUGGUGGAAAGGACUAUACAGAUUUUGGGAUGUAGUGGCGUGAGAGGUGGAUACAGUGAUAAAAAAAGAAUUUGGUGGAAAGGAGUAGACAGAUUUUGGGAUGUAGAGGGGGGGGGGGUGAGAGGUGGAUUAUUUGUUGGAAGGGGUUAUGUUUCGAGCUUUGGUAUCUUCAGAGAUUAGGGAGAGUUCAUUUUCUGUUAUUAUUUCAAAUUGCAAUGCUGUUUCUCAAUACCUUCAUUUUUUAAUCUUGGAUAUGUUAUAUAGUUGCUAUGGUGAAUGUGGACGAUGCUUCUGCUUUUUUGUCUUCGCCAUUUUAGAGGACAUCUUCUCCUCGGUUUUUAUUAAUUUCUCGCGUCUCCUCUCUGAAGAGGUAAAAAAAAUAAAAUUCAGAGUGCAUCUGACAGCCAGAUAAAUUGUUUUACUCUUCAUGGAAGCUAUAGCAGACAUUAGCAGUUCAAAUACGUGCGGUAUUUUGUUUCUUAAGUUGGAUGGAUUAUAUUAUCGAUUAAGAGCUCGAAUUUAUUUUUCGGUAUCACUAAAGGAACCCAUCUCGUCAGCCAUUACAUGAGAACCCCAGGUAGAUAUAUUCGAAGAUUAUGCUAGAGUCGGUUUAGCGGACCUACGGGAUAGAGUUCAGUUUUUGUCUGCCCUUUGGGCCUCAGUUUUCCCAGGAAUCUCUCUCUAUAAUUUGUUUAGAUUGGAAGGGGCAGCCUAAUAAUUGGUGUUUGGGUGUUUUAGCUUUUCUGGUUGGCUGUGUUUAUUCUGUUUUCUGUUUUGGGUGAUUUUCUUGACCGCCCUCUUUGCUUUCCCCUUUCUUCUUAUAAUAUUGUCUCUUUAUAAAAAUAAAAAAUUGCAUACUGAAGUCAUUCUUUAGCCUUUUGAAGUCCUUUUUUACUACGUGAUUUGCUCCAAUAGCACCUCAGAGAGAGCUUCCCCUUGUUGGCUUUGAGAUAUUGAUCAAAGUAUGCUCGUGUCUCAUCUUGCCAGAGUGCCUGUUAGCCAAACCCCUCUCAGUUUCUCCUAUCGUAGAUUGCAGGAAAAGAUGUGAAGAGUCCACUUAGCCCAUAUUGUUGAGAACCAGGAUGAUCUUUUCCAUUUAAAAUUUAUAUCAUCCAGCCUUUAAUAUGCAUCCUUGAGAAUUAAGCGUAUUGUAAUUGUUCUGUUUUUACUGAAAGUUUUGGUUUGAAGUAUUAUCUCAUUAUUAAAAAGAUGGCACUCACUUCUGACCUCAACCUUCGUCUCUCUCUCUCUCUCUCUCUCUCUCUCUCUCUCUCUCUCUCUCUCUCUCUCUCCUUCUCUCUCUCCUGUACAUGCAAAUAACCUUUUUCAUAUUUAUAUAAACAUCUGAAUAUAUUCUAAUGACUUCAGCUAUAUGUUGACUCAAUUUUUCCUAGCUUCUGUCUAUUAGAGAUGAACUCUUUGAGACAUUCAGGAAAAGACAUAAAGGAAUGAUGGAUCACGAAGAAGUGCAACUAACUUCUAAUUCUCUACACAGGUUAAUGUUUUUAUCUCCCCCUUGCUUGCUUAAACUGUGGGUAGUAAAAUGCUGAUCAUGCCAUUCACAUUUCUCAAGUCAUAAAAGUGAUCAACAUGCAGAUUGUGACUUAUCAAGUCUUACGUCAGUGGUGGGCAGUUGCCCUUUUUUUUAGUGGAAGGAGGGGAUGUUCAAUUCACAAUUAAUGCAGUGGUUUAGAAAACUAUUCUUUCUAACUGUUAAAUCCUUCUACAUUUCAUAUUUUAUUCCGCGGGCUUUGGAUCACUUGUGCUACCUGUGACUUACAUUAAUAGGUGUAGUUAAUAAAGAUUUUACCCUUUUAGUUUGGGUGUAUUGCUACAAUUUUCCCUUUUUGUUUUAUAGAGUGUUUCUCAAAUUUAUCAAAAAAAAGUGUUUUUAAGAGGCAGAAGGGAAUAUUACUAUAUCCUUUGAUUAUACUAACGAAACUUAUUCUUUGCAGAUCACUGGGUUUGUGUUCUAUUUAUUUAUCCUUUUAUCACAUUCACAUAGCACAUCCAGCGUUAGUUUAUUUUGCUAAACUGGUUGAUGCCUUUUAUUUUAACCUAACAUUUCUAUCUGCUCGUUUGUAGAAUGUUACUGGCUUUCAUUGAGCAGACAAAAGGCCAAAAGUUCCCAGAGAAUGCAUCAGAUCAGGAAAUGCUUGAAAUAGUCAUGGCCAGGUUGGUAUUUAUAGUAUGCUUGCUUCUGUUGUGUCUUGGUGCUAGCCUCUUUUUAUAAAACUUAAAAUGUGCUUGUAUAAAUACGUAGCUUUGCUUAACUCUUGUCCAGAGUCUUGACAUGAGAAGUUUUUAUUGAAACAACUUUGAGACUUGUGAAUGCAGUAAAACAUGAUCUAUGGAAUUGUGUAAUAAAAUUGUCAUGUCUGUUAUUAAAUUCUUGAAUGUGACCUAUAUCCUUGAGUCUACUAAAUCAACGAAUUUAUUCAGAUUUGAGUUUCUCAUUUAGUGUACAUAUUUGGAGCUUGGUCCUAUCCUCUGAACCUCUCAUUUUGUUUCCCUCUUUGAUUUCUUAUGAUUGAAAUGAUGGAUGCUAAUUUACCCUUUUUUUGUUGUUGUUGAAGUUCAUAUGAAUGGAAUGGAUGUUGUAUUUCAAUAAAAAAAAAAUCCUAUUUUUAAUAUACGUUGUAAUCUAAUUUAUGAUUUGGUUGUUUUAUUUCGAUCUUCUUGAAAUUCCAGAUAAGCCUAAACAAGUACUCUGCCGGUAUGUGUAAAACAGUAGAUUAGAAACUUGUUCAUGGUUUUGUUAAGAUGCAUAUGGUUCACUGGUUGUUUAGUGUAUAGUUCUGAAAUCGUAUGUGUACGUUUCAUAAAAAAAAAAUCCCAUGUCUACUUGAAAAUAGAUUUUUUUUUUUAAUCUUAUGAAUAUAUAGGUACGAAGAGGAACUUACCCAUCCUAUUCAGAACCUUCUUAAUGGAGAGCUGGCUCGUGCUAUGCUGAUCCAGGUAGUAUCCAUUACCUAUUAUCAGUACUGUUACCACUGUUUAUAUUAUUUCUCAUGUUAUAAUGCCUGGUGCCACACAGGUUCAGAAGCUAAAGCUGGAUAUUGAAACGUGCGUUUCUGAUCCUGGUGUCUUGGUUAAUACGCAAGUUUUUCAGAUGCACCAUCUUAUUUCAUGUUUCAGUUCCUAAAGAUGAUCUUAUUAUGAACAGGGCGAUGCUUGAACUCAACCAAAUUCUGAGGGCAAAUGAGAUCAAUUUUGCUAUUCUGGCGGCUUUACCGGCAUUCUUCCUCUCCCUCAUUCUGCUAAUGGUAGUGCGUGCAUGGUUCAAGCAGGUAGGAGAGGUUUCUUAAGCAUUUUUUUUUCUUCUAAAUAUUCUCAAGUUAAAUUAUCCUAAGGAUGUUAGUGCCUGCAUGUGAGUAUUCUCACAUGAAGAUGUAGUUUCAUUUCUAUGCAUAUCCCAUGUGUAAUGGAUUACAUCAUCAACUCCAACUUAUUGCGCAGAGUUCAAAACAAUUGUUCACAGUUAAAGACAACAGCAUUACUAGCCUACUGCAAAACUUUCUAAAACACGUAGAAUUCAGUUUUCUCCAUAAACCUCUUUUUCCUCUCUUUGACAUCCAAAAUUCGUAUGUCAAAUUGUAAUUGAGAAAUAUUUAACUAUUUAUUUAUUUUGUGGGCUACAAAAAGUUUUUGGUACAUUCUUCAUAAUGUAUGCCAGAUGGACUUAUGGAAAGACAUCAAAGCUAAAGUCAUCUGAAAAUAUUAUAAUUCUGUAAAGCUCCGUAAUGUUUUAAUGUUACCAUUUGUGCAAAUUUGUUCUUCUCUUCCUGUUUGUAUUAGUUGCUCAAUCUCAUUUCUACUUAUGCAAAUCAGGAUACUAGAGCAGAAGGAAGGGGAAGAAUUGCUCGGAUCCAGCGGAGGUUACUGGUUGUGGAGGUUGAGAAACAGAUUAUGCAGUAUCGUACUUUUUACGGUCAAGGGAUGGUAAGAAUUCAGUUCUAAAACUGUCUAUUGUAUUGAUUGUCAAUAGAGAGAAUUUAUUUAGAAGAGCUUCAAAUAUAGAACUAUACAAAUAUUAGUAUUGGGCAAUUAUUUCAUAGCAUACAGGUCUCAAAUGGUAUUCAUCUGCAAGAAAAGUGUUUUAGAACUGUUAUCUCACUCAUUUAAUUCAGGAUUAUAUGCAUUGAGAAGGAUUGGGAGGGUACACUAUUUGCUCUCUUUAAUUCUUUUAUGUGCACUUAUGCAUAAUAUUGCAUUCUGAAGAAUAUAAAUAAUUAGAUGUGAUAAGUAAAUUAGAGCCCUAAGAUUAGAUUACAAAUAAUUAGAUGUGAUAAGUAUAUUGCUUGCAAAGAUUGCACAGGAGAAGCAAUUCAUUAACUCAUAGAGCAAUAAACUUUUAGCAAAUCGAAUAAGGUAAUAACAAAUUCCAAUAAAAUAUAGCUAAACUUAGGAUAACAACUAUAGAAGUUAGCAACCACUGCUUCUAUAUUCCUUUUAAGUUUCAGUUUUUUAACUCCACAUAAAUAUAAAACAUGUAGGUACAUUGAGUUAUCUUUUUGUUUCAACAAUCAAGGCCACUUGGCAAAAUAUUUUUGCUUAAAAGAAGAAAGCGGCUGUGACUUUACUGUCCUUAUUUUACUUCGAGAGCUGAUGUCUGUACUUUAUCAGCAUUUAUAUGCUCUUUGAUUAUUCUAUUUGUCUUUUUGUUUUUCCAUCUGGAAAAAAAAAUCAAUGUUUUAAAAGGCAAAGCCAAGGCAUUUGAUUAUUAAUAUAUAUUAUAUUAUAAUUAUAUAUAAUUAUAAUCAACAAUAGAGUUGAAAUCAACAUAUAGAGCCGAAGUUAAACAUAUAUAGUCGAAAUCAAACAUUAUAGAAGAAUAAUCAACAAUCAAUUCAAAAAGUUAUUCAGUAUAGGUUAACCCUUACCUUAAAAAAUAAAAAUAAAAAAAGGCCCCAGCUGACGCCUCAGGUGCCGAGGCGCGACUCGACCACGCCUAGAUGAGUUUAAGCCUACUCCCGCUGGGCAAGGUGUUUUCCUCGCCGCCCCGCUCGAAGGUUGUCUAGGCGCGCCUCAAGGCCCCUUUUUUAAAACACUGAAAAAUAUAUAGAAAAAUCUUCGUUGCUUUGUUCUGUUAGAGUUGGGUAAUGAUCUAUUUGAUGAUUUGUAAUGAAAAACUGCAAUGAAAACAAGGAUUUGAAUCUGCAAAAUUUUGAUAAGAAAGUGCUAAUAGUUGCAACCUCUCAUUGAUUUUGUUAUGUGAUGAGAUCUGAUUCUGAUUUUUAACUUUAUCUGUGUGUUGUUUCUAAAUCAUGGUCUUUUUUGUUUUCCUCUAAUUUUCUUUUGUAAUCACUCUUUGUUUUUCUUUGUGAAUACUUUGGAUGAUUAUGUAUGCAUUAGAAACAACACAUUCACAAUAAUAAAAUUUGUGAAUGUGUUGUUUCUAAUGCAUAUUGUUGGGGUUGUAGUAGUCAUUCUUGUUUCGUAAUUGUCCUCCACAUUAUAUUAUUGUGUGCUUUUGUUCGGUUUCCGGAAGAGGCACAUUCACAAACUUAAGCAAAGAAGUUGGUCUUGAUACUUUAUCUGUAAUUUACAGGAGAAAGAAGCGCAGUGCGUGUAUGGAUUGUUGUUGUAUAGUCUGGAUCGACUAUACCGUGCUGUCAAGAGGCACGCAAAAGCAACCGGUGAAUGGAAAUGGUUAGUUUCUUUACAAUGUAAACUUUGUUCACAUUUAAAAAAAAAAAAAAAAAAAAAAAAAAAAAACAGAGAGAAAGAAAGAAAGAGGGGUAUUGUGUUGGAGUAAAUAAUUUAUGAGUUGUUAUAUGAUGAACAGGUUGAGUGAGGAUAUUGUUGAUUUGGGGAAGCCCAGCCUCCAAAUUGGAGAUAAACUCAUAUUGACCUCACGCAUGGUACGAGUGUACGACUGUCUGCUUCCUUCGUUGAAACGCCAAUAGGACUCUUUUCUUCCCCUCCCUUCCCUCGUAUUGACCUCGGAGGAGUAUUCUCUUCUCUCCUAAUCUCUUUCCCCAUUCUUUCCCGUCAUUUUCCUCCGCCCCCCUAUCUUUCACAGCUUAGAAAUUUUGUUAGUAGAGAAAACUGUGUAAAUGUUUGGUUUACGUAUGUAUUAUUUUUCCUUUUCCUAAGAAAAUAAGACAUUCACACUUAUUUCAUCACUAAAAAGCAAUGUUACAAUUUUGAAUUUUUUAUGGGGUCUGUGACACGUGGCUAUGCAUCAUGCGUUAACGGAUCUUUUGAUAGAAGGCCUAACAUAAGCAUGAAGUCUCACAUUCCUCACUUUAGGUAUGAGACUGAGAUGAAAAAAAUUUGGUAAAUUGAGAAUUUGAUACCUCAUGGUGGUAAAUUGAGAAUUACCCUAAAAACAGUGAAAACACAACUCAUAAAAUUUAAACGUGCUUCGGAUAACAAAAACCAUACAUCAACCCCCCCCCCCCCCAAAAAAAUACAAAAUGUGAUCAACCUUCAAACACGACAGUGACCCAUAAACAUUAGAUGGUUCUCAGUUUGCAUGAAGCUACUAACAACAACGAUUGAAACCAUAGCAAAAAGUGGCAUAAGAAAAGCAUCAUUUUGCCACCUUUUAUCAAGGCCUGAAAACUAUGUGGCCUUGUUUCCAAAAAAAAAAGAAAAAAACAGAAAACUAUGUGGCCUUCCUUUUUGAACCUGGAUGUAAUUAACAAAUCAAGCAUAAUAACUCGGCCAAAAACCAAAAUCAACUUUGGACGUAUUCCUAAUUAAACACUUCCCUUCAGGCCUGAUUCUGCUUUGUAUCCUGUUCGAUUCAGGAGUUAAAAAGUAGGGGUGGGCACGGUGCUGUUUCAUUCUCAAACCAUAAUCGGAACAAGGAAAUACCAAUAGUUCGGUUUGGUGCAGUUCUGCUUAAGUUUAUUACUAAAAUCGUUUAGUUCGGUUCACGCAUGUUCUAGUUUGGUUCAUGCCAGUUUAUGGUUCUAAAUAUUAAAUCAUUUGAAUACCAAAUCAAAAUGGUAUUUAAAGUUUACUUGUUUUCUUUUUCUUGUUUUUUGCAUGCUUGUAUUCAAAUACAACUUCUAAAAUGUAAACAUCCUUCACACCAAGCAAACAAAAACAAAAACACAAUUCAAAUGUACAUGUACAUUCAUAAUACGAAUAUACAUCCACAAAUACAAAUAUAUCCACUAUGUAGUAAUAACGUUAGUAUGAAUACAAUAAUAUGAGUCCAAAGGGGAUUUAUCAAGAGAUUAAAAAAAGGCCCAGUAAAAAGGAAAAGAAAAAAGUUGGAUGUAACUUAACACAUUAAGAUCAUUUUGUCCAAGAAAAAUAUAUUAAAACCUGAAUGUCAAAUAUGGAGAUUCAGGAGAGAAAAUGACCUCCUUUUUUUAAAUAUGUGCCUUAUCUCAAUAGGUGAACCGUGCAAGUGAAAGACCUAAUUGAGAAAUGCUCCUAUGCAAUUGCACUAGGCGAAACCAAUUUGAUUUUCACUACUCAUUUAGCGACACCUGUAUACAACUGUUAGAUUUAGUUAAUUAUUUAUAUUCACGAUUCGGUUUGGUUUUAAGCGGUUCUACCAACAUGAGAACCGGAACUGGUAUGAAUGGUUCGUUUUGGUUCUUGAACCUACAUUGACUUUUUUUGUCAACAUGGUUUUUAAAGGUUUAUUUUGUCGCGGUUAGAUUCGAUUUCGCAGUUCCACAGUUUUUAUGCCCAUCCCUAGUUAAAAGUAUGCUACCACCUCAUUUGGUAUCAGAGCUACAUUGAGAGGGGGUUAAUUUGCUAUAAAUGUGUAGUUGGAUACCUCCUAUGUGUAAAAAAAAAAAAAAAAAAAAAAAAAAAAAAAAAUUCUAUUGAUAAAUCCUUAGAGCAAGUCCACAUCACUAAGGCAAUUACUGCAUAGACAAUUGGGCAAAAUCAAUUACUUAAUACUGCACGAGUACAUCUCCACCUUGUAAAUGAAUUGCCCAAGCAAUUGGUAAUAAAUUUUUUUUUUUUAAAAAAAAGAAGAAGAUAAUUUAAUGUUUGAUUUCGGAUAGGAUUUUUAACCAAUCUCGUUACGCCACAUGUCAUUAUACAAAAUUACAAUUUUUGUGGAUAGAUUUCGAUUACAUUUUUUACCAAUCUCAUCGCACCACGUGUCACUAUCUGUUCAACCAAUCACGCCACGUGGCAUUAUCUAUGACUUUAUCCUUUAUUUUUUCUUCUUCUCCAUAUAAACCUACAUCCAACCUAGAAUCAGACACCAAAUUCAAAAUAUCUUAGAAUCCUUCUUCAUAGUGUAUAAAUCUUGAGUUCUUACAAUGCUUUCUUCAAGAAGCUUGUUAGAAAUUGAAGAGCAAGUGAAUGAAUUGUUCGAUCUCCAGGAGUGAGAAAAUGAGUUGUUUGAAAUGGAAAAGCGAGAGGACCAAAACAUAGAAGGAGAUAUGAUAAGCAAGAAGAGAAAAAACCACACAUACCCGUCAUGUUGUGCAAGUUGUAGUGGUAAUCUCUAGACCCAGUCGUUCCCCGAACCUCAAUAUAAGGAAGGAAUAACGAGGUAAUGAUCUCUCGAAAAAUUACUUUGUCCCAAAUAGUGUCUACCCUGGUGCAUAUUUAGACGUCGUUGUAUAAUGUAACCACAUUUGUUCAACAAAAUCAUGAUUGCUAUUUGCAACCACGAUUCAUACUCUGUGCAAAAGAAUAAUGCUUUUAAUGUAUAGGUCUCUUUCAUGAGCAAAAAAUUACUGCUACCUACCUAACACUUGCAUAUAGGGCAUCUGCAUACCAAGUGAAUGAGAUUGCGAGGAUUGGGAAGUCAACUGUUUUAAAGUCCCUGAUGAGGUUUUUCUUUGCAAUCAAAGCUAUCUACACUAAUGAGUACCUUUGGCGAUCCACGACAAUGGACCUGCAAAGGCUUCUAAAAAACAGUGAGAUGCGAGGUUUCCUAACAUGACUGAAGCAUUGACUGUAUUUAAUGGCAGUGAAAAAACUACCCAAGUUCGUGGCAAGGAGAUUAUGGAAACAGAAAAUGAACCAAAAGAAUCAUUUUGGAGGUGGUUGCAUCAUUUGAUACAUGAAUUUGGCAUGCUUUUUUCAGUGUUCUAGGAGCUUAAAAUAACCUCAAUGUGCUUACCCAAUCCCUAGUAUUCAAUGUGCUACAAGGAAGAUCUCCUUCAGUCACAUAUGCAAUAAAUUGAACCAUGUACUCGGGAACGUACUACCUAAUAGACGACUUUUACCCAAUGUGGACAUCAUUUAUCAAAAUAAUGUCACGUUCACAAAGUGAAAGGACAAACAUUGCACAAGAUGUCAAGAUGGGUAUAAGAAGGAUGUGGAGCAUUGUUUUGGAUCCUCCAAGCUUGUUGGUGAAUUGUUAGGGGGGCUACACGAUUAAUUGAUAAAAAGACACUUCGAUCCAUCAUGAUGACGUGCAUCAAUCCACAAUAUGAUUGUGGAAGAUGAUAUGAUUAUAAUGUUGUUGAUGAAUUUGAACUAGACAUGAUGAACAAUUCCAUAAAAUGGGUUUGUUGGGCUCAUGACGCCACCGAAGACACCGUGCACCAUGAGCCAUUGGAACAAAAUGGACGUAACAAUGAAAGGAACACUCAAACCUAUACUUCAUUGAAAUCUUCAUACAUUCACAAAACGCGUCAAAGUGACUUAGUUGAGCACUUGUAUGGAAUGAAACAAGCUCAAGACACUUGAAAAAAGCUUGUGGUGGAAGGAAAUGACCUUACUUUAUUUGGUGUGUUGUUUUUAUGUUAUUUGGUGUGAUGAACAAUUUCAAUUUGAAUGAAGAUACUCUUAGUUUAUAUAACGAUUCUCUUAAUAUAAAUAAUGUUCCAUAUUGAACAAAUACAAAAUUACAACCCAAAGCGGAUGGGAUAUUUUUGGCCCAUUUGAUUUUACUAUAAAUUCCCUAUAAAUCACCUAACCAAUCUAUGGUGCUAGGGUCAUCUCCACUUGGUCCCUCUUCCCUUGCAUCCCUCAUUUGCAUAACUUCCACUCUUUUUGACCUCUAAAAUUUUUUGAAUGUAGAGACAUUCCUUCAAGAGACUUGGACAUAAUUUGACUAUGUUUCUUCGCCCUCAUUAAGUAUAUCCCUUUCUUACCUAAGUAUCCCUCUUUCUCUCUCAUGAGCCGCAACUUUAGUCGCAUAUCUAGCAUUUUUAGCCUCAAUUCUAGCCAUGUCUUUCUUCAAACUCAAUGCACAUUGGCGGCUAAUUUAUUCCAUAUAUUUUGUAGUCACUAUUGGAAGAACUGUCUUUUUUCUUUGCAACCUUAUGACCUUGAGGCUUAAGUUUGAUGGGUCAAUUCCGGCACUUCAAGUGGGUUGCCUUCUUUAACAAGCGAGACUUUUUAUGGUCUUAUGGUGUAGAAUGUAAAGUAGUUGUUCAUGACAGUGCACAAUUUUGUAUUUGGGGCAACCUUUGACAACAUUCCAACAUUCAAAGCGGUUAAAUGACUUGUUCUUGUUGGCCUCAUUGUACCAAGUUUGUACUUGAAGUGCCUACAAAAAAUAUGGGGACAAAAAAACACUACUAAAACUAAUUAAUGUCAAUUUAAGGGCAAACAAAUAAAUAAAGAAAAUAUUGUUGCCUCAUCCGAUAUUUAGCCGCUUCGAAGAUUAUCAUAAGCUUGUUUGUGAAGGAAAAACUUUGUCCAUGUAGAGAUUAUUUGAGCAACACAUGCAUAUAUUAACAAUUAAAGUAAAGCAUGAACUCAAAACAAAUCAAACACCCAUGAAAUUCAAGGCCUAGUGGAUGGUGAACCAAGACUACUUUCAUAAAAGAAAAAAGAAAUAUUGAGCUUUCAUACCCUUGAAGCUCACCCUUGUUUUCACAAUGUUAUCACCCAUGUGAGGCUCUUCAAUCCUCUUCACAUGCUCCAUGGAUUUAGCUUGAAUCCUUGGAUCUUUUCUUCUUCCUUGCUCAUUUGCUACUUGAGGAUUGGAUGAAAGGAUUCUUUGAUAACUCAUAUAUUUCAUAGAUUUAUACCAUCCAUUCCUAGCCCCUUUGUGAUAUUUUUGAGUUAAACUAGUUGCAAUUUACCCUCUUUUGUGUUAGUGUGCAGCUAAUCGUAUUUUGGAGCUCAAUUGAGGACAUAUAAGGCAAAAUGGUGCUAAAAGUGGAGAAUUGAAUAAGGAUGCUGAUAUAGACAAAGAAUUAAAAGUGGAAACUGAAUAUGGCUCUUUAUAAGACCAAUAACAACAAAAAACAUGGGAAUUAAAUGCCCAAUUACUGGGAUGUAUUGGCAAUCUGUAACAGCCUCAUUAACCUUAUAAAACUAAGAGUUUCAACCACUUUUACAUAAGUUUCCCCUUGGGGUCGCCUAGAGCUCUCUCUCCUCUCUUUCUUUGGCCUUUCUUCCAGAAACAAAAUCCUUUCUCCAUUCACCAUCUGCAGCCACCAAAGAAACCACGCAGCCGCGCUGUUCUUAGAGAAGUUCAACAUCAUAAUUAUUUCAAGGGGGUUUCUUCUAUGAACUUUAAUUUCACUCAUGUUGUUCUUGAUAUUUAUAUAUUCUGUAAUUAUGUUACGUAAUUAAGUUCAUAGCUGGGGAUUUCGAUGUAGCCUUGCAAAACUAUUCUAUGUUGUUAAGUUACAGUAUUCAAUUCAUCAAUCUGUUUUCUUGUUUCAUUCACUGAUUUCAUAGUUCAAUUUGUUUGUUUAUCUUAAUGUUUGAUCGCCAUUAGAGUUUCUUACAGAUUAUUUGAUCAAGGUUAUAGUACACGUCAUGCUUAAUCUUGGUAGACAUGUGAAUGAAUGAAGAAACUGCUUUGCAUACAUCCUGCCAUGUGAUUUCUUUGGUUCUUUGAAGUUUUCGUGUUCCUAAUGGAUUUUUAGUUGGCAAUCUAAGUUGAACAUCACAACUAGGUUGUAGACUAGGAGUACUUGAUCACACCCAUACAUCAAAUAGAUAAUCAUAAAUGAGUAAAACGAACCCUAGUUACAGAUUGGAGAGUUGAAUGCGUUUUGACUUAAUUUUCAUGGAAUUGGCUUGUAAUGGUGAAAUCGGUAUCCCUAGUUCCAUUCCCAUUAUUUCUGAUCAACCUAUCAUUUAUCUUUAUCUUUCUUGCUUUUUUAAGUUAUUUAAGUUUUCAGUUGAAAAAUCUAAAUCCAGUUUGCAUUUUCAUUAUUUAGUUAAUGUUCACAUAAAGCUAGUAGUAAUUUGUAGAGGUCUAAUCAAUCCCUGUGGUUUGACACCCUUACUUGUGCCAUUAUACUAACCAUAUAUUUUACUUGGAAGGAACACAACAUUCUCCAAGCACCAAAGGAAUGUUGCUUCUAAGUCUCCACACCAAGGUAGAGAUGUGAAGACAAGAUGGAAAGCCAAGAAGAAGUUUUGCUGCUAGUGAGACUUCUUCUAGGGGUUGGCUACUAUAGGGAGAGAGAGGAGAUUGCCUCUAAGUUUUCUUCUCAAACAACCUUAAUAAGGGUUCAGUUAUAACUCAAUCCUCUUAGAGCCCCUAAAAGUUCAGUGGCAUGAGUGUAAGUAAUCCAUUUUCUCUAACAAGGUCGGCUCCCUAUAAUAAUUGGGUUGUUUACCCCUUAUUGUUUAAGUUUUCAUACAACUUAGGCAAACCACAAGCCUGGCACAAAAAAAAAAAAGAAAAAAAAAAGGUUCACGUGGUUGAUGCAUGGUUGAUGUCAGAUCCACUCAGUCACAAACUUAGACUAUUCAUGCCCAAGUAAUGAGUCUUGCUACCGAAUAACCAACUGAUUGGGCAAGGGUGAAGUAUUUUUUGGAUUUUGAGGGCUUGGAUUGGCUAAUUGCCCAAACAAUUUGCAUGGAGUGGACUUGCUCUAUGAGUAUCUCCACCAAUUGGUGGAAGGCAAAGGCAAAGGCAAUAAUGUUGCCCUCAAGCCCAAAAAAAAAAAAAAAACACCUCCAGCAAUCCAAAUAAGCAAGGACAAGUGGUGGGUGUAACAAACUGUCCCAAAUUUUACGAUUUUUUUAAUCUUAAAUAUGUGAUUUUACCAUAAUGCCCCUUGGGGCAAAAAUGUUGACUUUCAUUGACCGUCAUUUCGUGACGUGUAUGAGCUAUUAUCGUAUUGUAUUCUUGUAGUACCCAUUGCUACAAAAGCGUGGGUGCAAGCGGAAUUGAAUUUGGAGCUAUGAUGAAGAUUUUACGAAACAACGAAACAGAAGGGCAUUUAGUAAAUUCACUAUUCUAGAAUUUGGAGCUAUGAUGAAGAUUUUACGAAACAACGAAGCAGAAGGGCAUUUUAGUAAAUUCACUAUUCUAGAUAUUCAUCCUUAUUAUUUUAUUAUUUUCUUAUAGGGUAUCUAUGUUCGUGGGACCAACCCAUAUGGGUCUUUUGUCCCAUUUGUCCCCGUGUCCUCUUAUUUCCUACUUUCCUGGAUUCCUUCUCAUCUUUGUUUUGAUCUCUCUCUUUAACUUUCUCUCUCAUCCUUCUCUAACUCUCCCUUCUCUCGUUGAAGCACCAAAAAGUUGUAGCGGCCAACACCAUCACUACCUUGACUCGCCACCUCAAAGAAGUUCAACAAUCUUUCAGUCAGAAAUAGGAUCUCGGUCUAUAAGCUCAAACCAUGAACUCGAAACCCUACAUUGCAUAGUGACUUCUAUCACUGAUCAUUCCCUUCCCCAACCAUGGUGAGCCUUGAGACCCUCACAUCCUUCUUAUUUCGAAGCCUUUAUAUUGUUUUUCAACCUUAAAACGAGAUUUGAGGGUGAUCUAAUAUAGAAAGCAUCUCGAGGAGUUUUCCCCAGAUUUUUUGGCGAAUGAUGCAACCACUUUUAGGCCAUUCUUUCAACCAGCACCGACUAUGACUCAGCCUCGAAUUUGUAUAUAUAUAUAUAUAUAUAUAUAUAGGUUUCUUGACGUGCUAAAUCUGAAUCAGCCCUCCGUUUUUCGAAAUUUGAUCAUUUUAAAAUAGUUUCUUUAUGAGCCGUACUUUGUACGAAAAUGCUUAGUUACAAUAUUACGUAAUAUAUCUAUGUAAAUGGUUUCAUUUCUAGGUGAAACGCAUCGUGAGGAUUUUCGAUGCCCGCAAAGUGGGUUUGACCUAACGACAUAAUUUGUGAGUGGGUCUUUGCUUUUAAAUACUAUAUAUUUAUUUAGUUUUCAUUUAUAUUUUUGAUAAAGAAUUUUCUACAUUAUGUCAAGAUUAGAUUAAUGUUUAUAAGAAUUAGCGCAUUGACAGAAAUUAGGAAAUUAUGCUACGUCCUAAAGGAUGCAUAAAUAUGCAUGUUAUUAUAGGAUGCCUUAAUCAUAUUUACGGCCAUGAAUAACAUUAUGUCGACUAGAAUUAUCGGUUUACUAUUGCAUGAUCAUAUUUACGUUAUUUGCUCAUUUGUGUACUACACUAGUGUUAGUACUUGCCCAAGCCAGGGCCAGUCUUCACAUGUAUGUUCACAUCGCACCGUAGACUAACUUUGGAUCCAUUGUAGGUGCCAGUCCAGUCCUAGAUUGCUCUAGGCAAUUAUGACUCGUAUGUGAUGCGCAUAGCGCCAGUCUUCACGUGAUUGUUGUCCUAGAGCAUAAAUCAUGAUUGUGGAUGCAAAUUUUCGCCUUCUUCUUCUUUUUGGACGAAAAUGCACAUGCGAAACAAUUACACCUAUGAUCAAGACCAAGAGCCUCACAUGCCCACGAUGAUUUGGGGGGGGGGGGCUUUGGCCGAAGAUUCUCUGAUGCCAAAGUUAAAAUUUGAGGGAAAAGUGUUUAAAGAAAUUUAGAGAAUUUUAGAAGAGAAAUAGACUUAGGUUUUGUAGAAAAUGAGGGGCUAUAUAUAGGGGUGUGGCUAACCCUCUUAGGAGAAUUGGGACCGGCCACAUUUGGUUGUUUUGUGAGAUUGAUUGCAAGAUAUUAUGGAAAUAAUAUAUUGCAAUUGCUUUAGGCAAUUAAUCAAUUAAUUAAUUAAUUAAAGUAAUUAAUCCCAAUUUGAAAGGAUAAUUGGGAGUUACCUUGUGGGUUUGUUGAGGAAUGAUGAGAAGGUUUUAAAGAAUACCAUUUUGAUCACCUUUGACCUCAAUUGGGCUAUUAUUGUCCGUUGCAUAUGUGUGGGAGUCCCGGUGUGCCUUGAUAAGAGCAUAUUUAAGUGACUUUGUUAUCUUAUUUCUUUGCAUUUACUUCGUUAAUUUCCAUUUAUUUUGGUAAUUUAUUAUUUUCGUAUUAUUGUAGGUCCAGUUGGUAAAGAUAACAAUAAAUAACUAAAUGGAGCAAUUUGGAGCAGUUUUGGACUUGGAUUGGAUAGCAUGCGUGGAUAGCUUAUGGGCUAAACGUUUUUGGUGUUUAAAUGGUGCUAGACAUGCGCUAACAUCUGGAGAAAUUAAAGUUGACGCUUGGAAGGCAAGGAAUUACACAAGAAAGAGAAAUCCUAAUUGAAGAGGAACAUUAUCUUAUCCUAUCCUAUCUUAUCUUAUCCUAUCUUAUCCAACAUUAUCUUAUCUUAUCUCCAACUGCAAGGAGGAAUUCUAAUCACAUUCCAACACUUUCUACCUGAUUUUUAGAGUCCUAAAAUAACUCAAAAAUGCCAAAACCCUUUCCUCCUUGGAUUAAGCCAUUUCCCCAUAUAUAUAUGAAAUUCCUGCAGAGAUUUAGGGUGUGCCGCGCCUACCAUUCAUCCAUUGAAGUUGCUGGAAUUUCAAAGUUCUUUCUAUCUUUGUUUUAAGUUUCAAUGUUUAUUUUAGAUUGCUUUUCAAUUAUGAUAAACAUGUGUAACUAAGUUUCUUUUUAGUUAGAGGUGGAUUCGAAGCCAUGUUCAUAUGUUUUAUAUAAAUUGAUUACAUCCAGUUAUUGUUUCAUAAAACAUGACUGCGAUUUACUUAUCUGCUUUAUAGAAAACUUAUUGUUGUAUGUUUAUUAAGGGUGAAUACUUAGUUUGCUUGCAGGGAUUUGAUGCUAGAAUACAAGGGAAUUUCACCCAAUUGUUAUGAACUUAUAUUUUUAAGUAGUAAAAGUCACUAGUCAUGAUUGAGUUAAGUAAAUUCUUGGCAGGAGUAUCAUGCUUUCCAUAGUUACGAAUGCUUUGUCAAUGCUUAUGAUUUUCACAGUUAAUGAUCUUUGAGAUGUAUCUCUAUCAUGCUUUUCAUAGUUAGGGAACUUGAGAAAAAUAAUUUGGUUGCGUCGCUGAGUCCAAUUCAACGAACUUAGGAAACUCUGAGAGUUAAUAAGUGCUAUUCACAAUUAAUUUGGGGCAUAGUCAUUUAUGGUUUAUAGGAAGAAUAACUAGAAAUUGAUUUGUAUGCAUAUGUUUCAUGUGUGGAGAAGAAUCAUUUAGCUAUCCUUUCAUCCAUAGUUCAUUCACAACUUAAUUUACUUGCUGCAAUUUACUUUUGUUUUAAUCAAAUUCGUCUGAAAUCUCCCCAGUCAUUGUUUUAAUGUUAGUUCAAUUUAGUUUUCAGUUUUAUAAGUUUAGUUUGUGUUGAUUAGCAUCCCUUAUAAUCCUCGGAGUAGAACGAUCCCUACUUACUCGUAUUACGAUUGCAUAAUUUAUGGGGUUUAAUUAGUGUGUUAGUUUCUACCACAACAUGCCUCAAGGGUAAUUUUUUCUUUCUCAUCUAAAGGUCCACAUGUCGUCUUUAUAUUUUUCUUGAUUAUUUUUGGCUCCACAAAUGCCCCUACACCUGUUGGGCUGCUUGCAUGAAAUAGCAGGUGUAUAGAUCUUUUCUGUUAGGAAACAUAGGAUUGUUUCCUUUCUUGAUGUAGAUUCAUUCUUUAAUUGGAAAUUAGAUCCUUCUAGGAAAGGGAAAUAAAUUACUUCUAAAGUCUGUUUAAGUCUACCUUAAGUAGAUUAUUAAAUCAACUUCAGAGAACAAUUUAUUCUACCCUACAAGAAAGAGAAAGCUAGAGCAUAUUUUUUCCACCUCCCCUAGCAAUCUUCUACACUUGUCUGUGCAAAUGAUCGUCUUUCGUUACUUUCUUUAUCUUCUCCAUGCUGUAUUAAGGUAAGAAAAAUUUAAUUUUCCUUGUCUUCUUCUUGGAUAGUGCUGUCGCAGGGCAGCCGUUGGGGUGGUGCAACACAUCUGCUGAGAGGGGCCAGGAGUCAGCUCGACAUGGGUCGAUGAGUGUUGUGGCAGGGAUCACAACUUAGGUUGUUUAGCUUGGCUAGAGCCAAGGGUAGCUGUGCGGUUGGGGUCGCAGAUGGAGAUGCUGGGGCGAAGUGCUAGGAGAGCCGCAUAUCUCAUGUCCUUUGGGCUCUUGGACCUAAAGCGGGCCAGGUUGGUGAUUAAGAGAAAUGAGGAGGUCGCGGGCCUCAUGGGCUACUAGAACGUUGGGCAUGCUAGCCUCCUGCCUGCUGGCCUGAGAGAAAAAAAUGAGGGAAAAGCCAAAAUAGGUUAAGCUCUCCCGCUGAGUACCGUGAAUGGCGUUGGCUACUUAAUCCAAUUAGCUUGGAGAAAGAUAGGCUGCUCCCGGUAGAGGAGAUAAAAAGGAUAAAGGCAAAUGCAUUAGCUCGUCCGAUCGCUGUUGUGGAGCCUACUAUGAAUGAAGGUGGAAAGAAGAAAUCUUCCCAGCCUGCUCAAGAGAUGCUGGUUAAGAAAAACCCAAAGAUUUCCUCCGUUACUCGUGAGGGUCCGUCUGCUGCCGAUAGGCUAUUCAUUGACUUGACUUCUUCCAAUGGGAAGAAAAAUGAGGCUGUUAGAUUUGAGCAUUUGCCAUCUACCCUACUGAUUUUGUAUAGACCUUCCCAUAUGGGAUCUAUCUUUUUAGAGCCUUUUUUACGGGCAGUGAUGAAGGCUUUUCUUAGGACUAGAUCUCCAGGCUAGAACUACCGGAUCUUGGCCAUUUUGUUAUAGGUGGAAAAAAGCUACUGCUAGUAGGUUACGAUGAUGGUGGUGACCUUCUCGCGUUUCUCCAUUGCCAGAUCUAAGUUUGUUGCCAUCUCCUUUCUAUUAUGCUCAAUGCUUGGUAGUAGAAUGUUGAUACUUGGCAUGAUGACAUUGAAAGGAAUGAUUGCUUCUGAACCAAAUGCCAAAGAGAAAUGCGUCUCACUGGUUGCUCGUCGUAUGGUUAUGCAAUACGCCCAUAGAUAUCAAAGAAAUUUGUUUGGGCAUUUUCCCGUUUUGUCGGAGAGGAAUUUCUUAAAAUAGUUUAGAAUCAUCUUAUUGGAUGCUUCGGCCUGCCCAUUGCCUUAGGAAUACCUCGACAUGGACAUGUGCUGCUUGAUGCCAUAUUUCUAGAAGAACUUCGUCAUCUUUGCCUAUGAAUUGCGGGCCGUUGUCUGUGAUGAUGGAUUGAAGGAUGCUAAAUUAGUAAAUGAUGUUCCUCCAUAUGAAACACUUUAUGUUCGUCUGAGUUGUGGUUUUCAUGGGCUCUACUUCCACCUAUUUAGUGAAGUAGUCAGUUGCCCCAAUCAUCAUGCCUCUACCUCUAGUAACUGGUGGCAUUGGCCUUACCAAGUUGAUUGCCCAUUGCAUAAAUGACUAAUGACUCAUUUGCAAGUGUAAUUCGCUGACCGGCAGUGCUGGUACCAGCUUGUAGUGUUGGUAAUGGUCGUACUUUUGUACUAACUCAUUUGCAUCUUAAUGCAUAGUAGGCCAGUAAUAGCCUAUGUUUAGAGCCUUCUGUGCUAAAGAUCGGCCUUUGGAGUGAUUUCCACAAAUGCCUUCGUGGAUUGAGCUUAAAACCUUUAGGUUGUAGGGAGGUGCUAGGCAGUGGAUAUGUGGUCCAGUAUAGGAUAUUCGAACAAGAAUGUCAUUCCACAUGUAGUAACGUGCUGCCUUUGUUUAGAGCUUUCUAGACUCCAAUCUUUCCAUGAAGAGUGUGCCAUUGACCAAGUAGUCUAUAAUGGAAUCUUGCUAAUUUAAAGUUGUACUAACCUAUGACACCUCGACUGCUGGCUCUGCCUCUAUGCUUGGCUCAUCUAGAUACUCCACCGAAAUAAAGCGUUUGAGUUGGUGGUCAAAGGCUAGCGUGUCCACGUGAGCGUUGUUUUUCCGCGGAACUUGAGUGAAGAUGUAAGUCUAAAAUGCCUCAAGUUGCUUUCGUACCUUCUCUAAGUAUUGUACCAUCUUCAUAUGUUUUGUCGUGUACUUUUCAGUAGUCUGGCUAGUGAUUAGCUGGGAAACAUAAUGAAUUGCAAGCUUAUCACCACCAAGUCUUUUACCAUUUGGAGGCAUGCUAGUAGGGCUUUGUAGUCUGCUUCAUUGAUGGAUUUAAAGUGUAAAGUGAUUGCCUGCUUGAGCGUCAAACCAUCUAGGUGACAAGGACCACGCUUGCUCUCGAGCUUUUGUAGUUGGAAGCACCGUUGAUGUGCAAAAGCCAAAAGUAUCCAUCGGGUAAAGCAGGCAUGGCUUGGGCGUGCUCGGUUUCCUCUGAGGCAUUGUUGGGUCGCUCUACUGCUUCCUUAGGCUAGGAGUGAAUUCGCGGUAGGGAGCCGUAGGGCUGGGGCCAUGUUACACACAGGAGAAGAUGCUCAACUGCUGGUAUUGGGCCACUCUAAAGCUGAAUUAUUGAGCAAGGGUCGGCUGAGGCCGCGUGACACGCAUGUUACUCCUAUGUAGAAUCUUUUGGGGAGAUGAGAAAAAACUUGCUUCCGAGUGUGUCAUUCUAGUGUUCGUCUGCCCUUGGCUCGCCUUUUGGGCUGAGUUGUUACGUUCGCUAGAAAACUUUGCAUUCGCUAGUGUUUGUACCUUUAUCGCCGCACGUUUGGAUUGGGCUGAAUAGUGCGUGAUGAGGAUGACUGCUUGAGCUUCCCAAUUGCAACAACUGUCGCUAAAGUUAGUUUUUGAAUUUCUGGUAGCUGGUUUUCGCAUCGAGAAAAGCUUUUGAACUGUAGAAUAUAGGUAGUCGGGCCCCCAACUCUUCUCGUAUGAGGGUAAAGCUUAUUGCUGCUUCAACUACCAUAAAGCAUGUAAAUAAGUCAUGUAUUGCUUUUGAUUUAGAUAGUAGAGAUGUGAUGUUGGGUACUUCUUCAAGUCCUUGAAUGUGCAUCGGCGAGCCUUGUCCCAAAGUGCAUGCUUCUCUGCCAGAACAAAAGAGUCUGCCAUAGUUAGAUCUUCUUUCAUGAUCAAUUUUUUGAAUAGUGAGUGGCAUGCUGGAAGUCAUUUUUAGAAGGCUGAUCUAGCUAUCGAGUCGUUGCAUUUGACUAUCUUUGCCUUCUCUACUUUGAACCUCUUAACGUUGAACAAGUGGUCAGACUUUUUCUUGAUCGAGCGAUAGGAUGAAUAUUCUUUAGUGAAAACCAAAGAAAAUUCGUCAAAACUCCAGAUGGAUUGUGGUGGCAGGGUGUAGAACCAAUUUUGCACCUCGCCUUGUAGAGUGGAGGUGAAUAUCUGGCAUAUGAGAUAAUCGUUGUUUCGAUAAAGGAUCAUUGUGCUUUAAUAGUGCUUUAGGUGUCUUUCUAGGUCUCCAUCUCCUUUGAAUAAUGUGAAAUGUGGCUGAUGCGAAAAUUAACUUAACACACAAAUUUAACCCUCUUUUGACAAUUGUAGUAUAAGUAUAAGUAGGGAUCGUUCUGGACCGGGGAUUAGGAGGGCUUGCUAAUAACCUCUAAACUGACUCAAAAACAUAAAACUAAGCUUAAAAAUACUUAACAAGAUUCACAAGACUCAAAGCAAACUUAAAAUACUCAAAACAGCUUAAAACAACCAAAUAAACUUAAACUAGACACUAGGAAUGACUUUGGAUGAAAAUUGACUUUUACUUGAAUCAAAACACUUAAAAACACAAACUAAAACAGAUUUGAAACACUUUGAAACAAGAAACUAAAAGGGGGGUUUUGAUUUGGAUGAAGUUGUAACAAAUAAACAAGUAUGAAAAACUAGACAGAUUGUAAAAUAAAUGUGAGAAAAAAGAUGAUGGAUGAGAUAGCUAGAGGUUUUUUCUCCACACAUGACAUGUAUGCAAAUAACUCGAUUUCCAGUUACUACUUCAUUGAAUAUGAAUAACAAUGCUCCAAAUUAACCGUGACAUCACUAGUUAACUCUCAGAUUUUCCUUGUUUUAUUGGAUUGGAUGACAUCAUUCGACAACCCAAAACAUUCUUCAAAAGUUCCCUACAUGACAUCAUAAUAGAGAUACAAUCAAAGAUCAUUACGUUUAAUGAAAAUCAUAAGCAUUGACAAAGCACUUGCAACUAUGACAUCAUGUCACUCAUGCUAGGAAUUGAACUUAACGCCAUCGUUUAUAAGCAACCUCCACUACUUAUGAAUAUAAGUUUGUAACAAUUAUGUGAAACUUUCUUAUAUUCUAGCAUCGGAUUUAUGCAUGCCAAUUAAGUGUCGACCCUUAAUCAACAAAUACAAAUAAGUUAUCAAUCAAAUAGUUAAGCCAAUUGCAUUCACGAUUCAAGAGUUCAUAACUGGAAUUUAUCAAAUUUUAUUGCAUACAUAGUCAUGGCUUUGAAAUCACCCCUAGCCAAUAGGGGUUUAGCCACCCAUAUUUACAACAAAACGAAAUGAAAUAAAUUUAAACAUUAGAAACAAAAGAAAGAAAACAUAUAAACGCUCCAACGAUCCAAGUUGGAUAGCAAGCACGUCUAAGCACUUUCCUUCCCUUCCUUUGCUACGGCAUAAGGUGUUGGUGAGUGUUUGAAGGUUUGUUUGUAUGGAGGAAUGGAUGUGUUUGGAUGAAGGUUGUCUUGAAAUGGAGAUGAAUGAUCAAGCAAAAACUAAACUCUAUGGCUACCACACACACUUCCUUUUAUAGAGGAAGUGCACGGCAAUGGAGGGAAAUUGGUGGUGUGUGCAAUGAUUCAAGGGUGAAAAUGAAGUAAUGAUGCAAAGUAUGGGGGGUAAAAUGGAGUGGUGUUGCAGCAAUGAGUGCAUUGAGUGGUGUUUGAAAUGAUUCAAAGGUGAAAGUGAAGUGAUGAUGCAAAGCAUGAGGGGUAAAAUGGAGUGGUGUUGCAGCUAUGAAUGCAAGUAGGGAACAUGAAUGAUUGUGCACAUGGUAAAGAAAGGAAAUAGAGGUGGAAUGGUGCAGAAAUGAGUCAAAGGUGCAUCAAGACUCAUGAUGCAUGGCAUGGGAUUCCAAAUGUGGUGGAUGGUGCAUCAAUAAGUGCAUGUAGUGGAGGUAAAAGUUGUAUGAUAUCUGAUGGGUGAAGGGGACAAGAAAUGUGCAGCAAUUGAGUGCAAUGAUUCAAUGUUUUGAUGCAUGAAAUCAGAAAUAAUGAAGGAGACAAGGGUGGUGCAUGACAUGGGUGGAUAAUGAGUGUAGUGGUAUAUGAAAUGAGUGCAAGAAAUCUGGUGUGCAUGAAGGAGACAAGGGUGAUUAUGCAUGGCAUGGGUGGAAAGGUGAGUAAGUGGUUAAUCAAUGAGUGCAAUGAGGUGAAAGGAUAUUGUGCACAUGGUAGACAAAAGAAAGGAAGUGGAAUGGUGCAACAAAUGAGUGCAAGGAGGGAACAUGGAUGAAUGUGCACGACAUGGAGUGAUUUAUGGCAGAAAAUUGGAAAGGAAUGGCUCCCUUGCAUGGCAAGGAAGAGAAAUGGUGAAUGAUGGUAUGGCUUGGACUUUUAGGGCAGGUUUAGGACUUGUAGAAUAUGUAAUGAAAUGUCCCAAAGUAUUUAGGAACCCUUCGUGUGACUAAAUCUUUGGUAAUUUAGGAUUAGGAAAGGUAAUGACAAGAUAACGCAAGUUUGACUAGUCUUUCCUCAUUCUUAAUGGUUUCCUUGUCUUCCUUGGUCCUCAAUUUAUUUUCUUCCUUUCCUUGGCACAUUCCUAGCUUCUUUGGAUCUUUAAUUUUGUCCAACCACUUUGCUCCAUAUGCAUGCAAUCCAUUUCAACCCAAAAUUGCUCCAAAAUGCACCAAAAUGCAUUUUCUUGCCAACUUUGUUAUUAGGAUCUACAAACACACGAAAAUAGCUUAAAAUACAUAAUUGACUAAGAAAUAACAACAUAAAUGCACAAGAACAAGCUAACUAAGUCGCAUAAAUAUGCUCCUAUCAGUGGCAUGCUUGAUAAGCUCAUAUUUAUAUUUAUUUUACAUCAAAUUCACUUCUCUUUUCUUAGUUAGUUCCUUAUAUUUUUGAGCUAUUUACUUUGUUUUUUUGUUUUGUGGGAUUUGUCAAGCAAAUAAAAGAAAAAUAGCACAAGUGGGAUAUUAAGUAACAAAUUCGUCAAAACUGCCUGUGCAGGUCAGCUGACUUUGGAAGCAAGUUAAGAACAGCUCAGAAUGAAUUAGAGAAUGAGCCUUAUAUGCUUGGAAAGCUACGGAUGUCUAUUUUCUAGAGCAUUUCGCGGAUUGUUAAUAUCAUUUUUCUAGAAGAAGUUAUGGCCAUUUUAACACUGAAAGGUUUCCAAGACGCUGAGCAGUUUGUAACUGCAUUGAAGGCAAUAAAUCCAAUAAAACUAGCAGCCAAAACUGAUGCAGCCAAGAACAAGCCAGCUGACACCUCUUCAAAUAUCAGAUGAAAUGGAAUUAAAGAUGAGGAUUAAGUGGGAGUAAUUGGCAUAAAGGUUGCCCAAAAAGUUACAAUUGUUUUACCAUUUCCUCUCACUUAUUGUCAUCACUAAAUGGCUGUUAGUGGGGUGAGUUAUGGAGCAGAAAUGGGGCAGCAAGCAUGGGCAUAAAGGCUGCAGGUUGCAGCAGCAAAAGAGAGUUCUUUAGAGGAAAAAAAAGAUAGAAAAAAAAAAGGAAAGGAAGGAAAGAGGACAAGGCAGCUGCGUUGAGAAAGGAAGGAAAGGAAGGAGGAAAUCUUGGCAUUCUCUUCUCUCGGUUUUAUCUUCUCAAACUCAUGUCUUUCUUUUGGUUUAUUUUGAGAACUAUGUGUAACUAAUUUUUUAGAAGUUAGGGGCUGUUUUGAAGCCCCGAAUAUGAUUGCAAUUUUUUUAUGACAUUUUGUUGAAUUACUUUUAUGAAUGGAUGAAACUUGGUUCACUACUUGUCUCAUUGAUGAAUUCUUUAUUUGUUUUCUAUGGAUGCAUACGUAGUAAGCAUAUCUAGGAUUCUAAUGCUAUGAAUAUGUGUGUGCCUGCCCUUGUCGAAUGAGGACCUACAUAUGUUCUAAAGUAGUACUUGUUAAUUGCGAUUAACAUGUGAACCAAUUUCUAGGAUGAGUAAGACAACGCCAAUACUUACGAUGCCUUGUGAUGACUCAAACUCUUUUCGUUCUUAAUGAUUUCUACUUGUUAAAUCUAUGAACACGCCAUUCUAGAUUGCAUGCUAGGGACUAAGUUAAGUUGAAAACGUCAUUCUCUUAACAAACUACGUAAGAAAGAGUAAUAGGUUGAGUUCUAACAUUGAGCCAACUUGAGCAUCUUUAUCCGGAAAUAAAAGAAAUUUGAAUGAAACAUAACAUGUUUGCAUGAUUAUUUGGUGGUGGAUAGCAAUACCCCUAAUUCGUUUUUCUUAAUUUGUGAACUACUUAAAUUUGUGUUUCUAUCCUGUUUUUUGUUCGAUUUAAUUUAAAUAGCAAAUCAACUCCAAAAAUUAAAAAAAAUGUUUGAGUGUGUUUGGUAUGUGUCUAGUACUUUUCUGCAUAUAAAAUUUUCCUUUCAAUAAGUGUUAUGUUUUUUUGUGUAAUCAUAAUUACCAACAUAUGUUCUUGAGUGGUACUUUUGUUAGUUAAUGUGGAUAAAAUUUCUAGAGACUUUCUAAAUCUUAUAAGUGCGGUCUAAUAAAUUUUUGUGUGGUAAAUGGUUCAGUUAAAAGCCCCAUUUUUGUGACUUUGUUAGGGUUAAUAGUUAAAACAAUCUUCUUACGUGGAGAAAGACUUAUGUUUCAUAUGCUACAACUUGACAAAUUUAGUGUUAAAAGGGAAAACUAACAAUGCUGACUUUGUGUGUGCUUUUAUAUCCUCAUCAAUUGAUUGGUAUUCUUUUAACCUUUUUUUCAUUCUAAAAACCACAAUACUCUCAAGAACUCUGCUUGUUGAGAGCUUUGCCUGUUCAAUUCGUCCAUUGAAAAUUGUGACCUGCUUUAAUUCAAGUCAGUCUCUCUUUUUUAUUUUGUGCCUUCAUCAGAAUGACCUUAGUUGCAUUGGAAGAUCAACAACUUCUAGUCAAGAGCCUUUUCUCACUUUUCCUGAACUCUUUUGCCAGUUGUCAAUGAUGUGCUUAAUUUCUAAGGGCCUUAGUUGCCCCUCUUGUCCUCAUGGUUGAACUCUUAUGGGACUCUCAAUGUGUUGACCUUGCUCUUGAUUCAGUGCCUCAUAAUCUCUUCUAAAGCUUUGUUGAAUGCUCGAGUUCUUCGUCAGUAAGUUCUUCGCAAGCUGCCGAUUGAACUUGAGCCACAUUAAGUGACUACUUCUCUCUGUCCAUUGUGCUACUUACUCCGAUGUGAGGUGGAAUAUGUUCCUUGCGGGCCUAGCCUCGAAUGAACACUUCGCCUAGAAAGUUUCUCAUGUUGAUUAACGGAAUGUAACCCUAACCAAGAGUGCACGCUCCUCUUUGCGCUAAGAUGAUAGUAUAUGCUAUCUUGGGGGCUCAGUAGGAAUGUACACAGCCAUAACGCUUAGUUUGUGUCUGGUCAAGUCGCUGCUUGCCGGGACGCUGCUGGAAAGGUUCAUCGUUUGCCUUUGUCUUACUUCGAGACACCUCGUUUGGGGCAUGUUGCAUCUCGGUGCGCUGUAAGAGAUGACUCACCAAGGUCGUCUGCUAUACAAAGACGUUUGUCAACUCUAUGACUUGUCGGGACACGUGUUGUUUGCCAUUUGGGUUGGAAAAGCUUAGACGGUAUGUGUCUCGUUAAGUAGCAAAAAUGUAAUAAACUUCAGGCGUAAGAUUUGAGUUGGGAAAUGUCAAAUCUGCCGAGAAAUUAGGUGAAAAUGCCCUCAGUUCAAUCGUCAGUCCAAAAAUCUGAAGCUGAGAUGCCUGAAUCGUUCUUGGGCCGAUUUAGGUUGCUUGGGAAGCCACAAGAGUUGGCUGCUCCACAUGCCGCAAGCAUAGGAGUUAGGCCAGGGCUUGGAUCGGGUGUCUGUUGGGCUUGGGGCAGGUCGUGGCUCGUGUCAGCUCAUCUUGGGCUUAGGCCCUUGAAGCUUGAUGUGGCACGGCUUAUGCCCCAUGGUCUUGGGCUCAACCUUGGAGUGAACUGGGCUCGUGAUAGCCUUAGGCCCUCGAGGUCUGGGCCGGUGCUCCUAUCGUGGCUGCUUGAUUCUGGGCUUGCUCACCUUGGGCCUUCUUACGUUUGGCCGAGCUGGGUUCCUUUGUGGCGCUAGCCUGAGCUCGAUGUUGCAAGGUGGCAUGGGCUUGAGCUUGCGGCUACAAGGUGAGGCCUGCUCAUUGGGCUCGGAUCUCGCUGUGAGUUACCACGGUGGCUGCCAUGGUGGUGCCCCAUAGGGGUAGUGCCGUUCCACUCGCCGUUGCGUUGAGCCUUGUGGAUUGUUGUGGUCCAAAUCCUUGAACAUAGGAAGUUUCUUUUGUCAUGAUUUCCGAAUUUCUUGUCAUUGUACUUUUCUUUGACAUUUAUUCAAAGAAUUUUUGCAUAAAAAAUUCUAGGAAUGAGAACGCAUGAAAAAUCUACGAAUGAACAAAAAAUUAGAAACCUUGAAUACAAGAGUCUUUUUCGAGCGUGUGAAUCAAGACUCUCAAUGAAAGCACCAAUUUAUGGAUGCAAAUUUCCGCUUUCUUCUUCUUGGACGAAAAUGCACCUGCAAAACAAUAAACACCUAAGAUCAAUGCCAAUAGCGUCACGCGCCCAUGAUGAAUUGGGGGGGGGGGCGCUUUGGCCAAAGAUUCUCUAAUGCCAAAGUUAGAAUUUGAGGGGAAAGUGUUUAGAGAAAUUUAGAGAAUUUUAGAAGAGAAUUAGACUUAUGUUUUGGAGAAAAUGAGGGGCUAUAUAUAAGUGUGUGGUGGGCCCUAUUAGGAGAAUUAGGACCGGCCACAUUUGGUUGUUUUGUGGGAUUGAUUGCAAGAUAUUAUGGAAAUAAUAUCUUGCAAUUACUUUAAGCAGUUAAUCAAUUAAUUAGAUAAUUAAUUAAUUUAGGUAAUUAAUCCCAAUUUGAAAAGAUAAUUGGGAGUUACCUUGUGGGUUUGUUGAGGAAUGAUAAAAAGGUUUAAAAGAAUACCAUUUUGAUCACCUUUGACCUCGAUUGAGUCGUUAUUGUUCGUUGCAUGCGCAUGGGAGUCCCGGUGUUCUUCAAGGCUAAUUUUGUCUUUCUCACCCAAAAGUCCACAUGUCGUCUCCAUAUUUUUCUUGAUUAUUUUUUGCUCCACAAUUAUUACACCCCGUCUUGUUCAUGUCAAAAUAUCUCUACAUGAACUCGUGUGUAAGCAUAUGUCGAUGAGCACUCAUUAUGAUAUGUUUGUUUAUGCGAGAUUAUGUGAUUACCAGACGUUAUGUGUUUAUUUACAAAAUAUUGUGACGUAUUGCAUUGUAGGAAGAAGAGGUAUCUCCUUAGGUUUCUCAACGUGUCAAAUUCGAAUCCACUCUCUGUUUUUCGAAAUUCGAUCAUUUUAAAAUAGUUCAUUGAUGUGAAAAUUACUUGACACACAAAUUAAACCCUAUUGAUGACAAUUGUAGUAAUGAUGUAAGUAGGGAUCGUUCUAGACCGGGGAUUAACUAGGGAUGCUAAUCAACAAAUAUAAGACUCAAAAACACUAAACUAGACUCUAUAAACUCAAAACUAACUUAAAAUACUCAAAACAGCAAAUAACAAUAAAAAAGAUUCAAUUCUAGACCUAACAAGUGAUUUGGACGAAAAUAUAACUUUAAAAGACUUAAAAGAUUUAAAGGAAACAAGUUUUGACUCUAAAAGCAAGACUUAAAAGCAAGGGGUUUUGUUUUGACGAAAAUUGAACUUUAAAACUUUAAACUUUGAAAAUAAACUUAAAACAAAACAGAUUGUGAUGAAAUAGAAUGAUGAGAAACUAGUUAGAGGGUUCCUUAUCCACAUAUGAACAUAUGCAUAUAAUUUGAUUCCCAGUUAUGACUUCAACAAACGAUGA